This 261-nucleotide ribosomal RNA is filed under the name uncultured bacterium. Its description in RNAcentral is "partial 16S ribosomal RNA". It matches the Rfam family "Bacterial small subunit ribosomal RNA", at positions 524 to 784 of the family's 1533-position model. The record is from RNAcentral.
UACGAAGGGGGCUAGCGUUGCUCGGAAUCACUGGGCGUAAAGGGUGCGUAGGCGGGUCUUUAAGUCAGGGGUGAAAUCCUGGAGCUCAACUCCAGAACUGCCUUUGAUACUGAGGAUCUUGAGUUCGGGAGAGGUGAGUGGAACUGCGAGUGUAGAGGUGAAAUUCGUAGAUAUUCGCAAGAACACCAGUGGCGAAGGCGGCUCACUGGCCCGAUACUGACGCUGAGGCACGAAAGCGUGGGGAGCAAACAGGAUUAAGAA